UACGUAGGGGGCAAGCGUUGUCCGGAAUCAUUGGGCGUAAAGCGCGUGUAGGCGGCUCGGUAAGUCCGCUCUGAAAGUCCAGGGCUCAACCCUGGGAUGCGGGUGGAUACUGCCGGGCUCGAGUCCGGAAGAGGCGAGUGGAAUUCCCGGUGUAGCGGUGAAAUGCGCAGAUAUCAGGAGGAACACCGGUGGCGAAGGCGGGACUCUGGGCCGAUACUGACGCUGAGGAGCGAAAGCGUGGGGAGCAAACAGG
RNAcentral lists this ribosomal RNA (253 nucleotides) under uncultured bacterium. RNAcentral describes it as "partial 16S ribosomal RNA". It matches the Rfam family "Bacterial small subunit ribosomal RNA", at positions 524 to 776 of the family's 1533-position model. The record is from RNAcentral.